Molecule: ribosomal RNA, 497 nt
Filed under: uncultured bacterium
Lineage: Bacteria
Description: partial 16S ribosomal RNA
Rfam family: Bacterial small subunit ribosomal RNA
Source: RNAcentral
GAUGAACGCUGGCGGCGUGCCUAAUACAUGCAAGUCGAGCGAACGGACGAGAAGCUUGCUUCUCUGAUGUUAGCGGCGGACGUGUGAGUAACACGUGGAUAACCUACCUAUAAGACUGGGAUAACUUCGGGAAACCGGCGCUAAUACCGGAUAAUAUUUUGAACCGCAUUGUUCAAAAGUGAAAGACGGUCUUGCUGUCACUUAUAGAUGGAUCCGCGCUGCAUGAGCUAGUUGGUAAGGUAGCGGCUUACCAAGGCAACGAUGCAUAGCCGACCUGAGAGGGUGAUCGGCCACACUGGAACUGAGACACGGUCCAGACUCCUACGGGAGGCAGCAGUAGGGAAUCUUCCGCAAUGGGCGAAAGCCUGACGGAGCAACGCCGCGUGAGUGAUGAAGGUCUUCGGAUCGUAAAACUCUGUUAUUAGGGAAGAACAUAUGUGUAAGUAACUGUGCACAGCUUGACGGUACCUAAUCAGAAAGCCACGGCUAACUACGUG